This 66-nucleotide transfer RNA is filed under the name Ciconiphilus decimfasciatus. RNAcentral describes it as "tRNA-Ser". Lineage: Eukaryota; Metazoa; Arthropoda; Insecta; Psocodea; Menoponidae. The record is from RNAcentral.
UUAAUGAAGUAAUUAAAUUUCAGUUUCUACCUGAAAAAAGAUUAAUAUUAUAAUCUUACUUCUAUA